CAUUAAGUGACUGAAAGUAAGUACUGGUCUCUUAAACCAUUUCAUAAUAAAUUAACAAUUAUUCUUAAUGG
This 71-nucleotide transfer RNA is filed under the name Ochthebius sp. IBE<ESP> AN104. RNAcentral describes it as "tRNA-Lys". Lineage: Eukaryota; Metazoa; Arthropoda; Insecta; Coleoptera; Hydraenidae. The record is from RNAcentral.